GUUCCUGUAGCACAAUGGGCCAGACCCCCUUGAAAAAUUCCUGUGUGCGCUACUGCGCGCUGGACUUCUAAUCCAAAGGUCGUGGAUUCGAAUCCCACCUGGGAUG
Non-coding RNA from Trichonephila inaurata madagascariensis, 106 nucleotides. Lineage: Eukaryota; Metazoa; Arthropoda; Arachnida; Araneae; Nephilidae. The record is from the annotation of a GenBank genome assembly.